UACGUAGGGUGCAAGCGUUGUCCGGAAUUAUUGGGCGUAAAGAGCUCGUAGGCGGUCUGUCACGUCGGCUGUGAAAACCUAGGGCUCAACCCUGGGCCUGCAGCCGAUACGGGCAGACUAGAAUUCGGUAGGGGAGACUGGAAUUCCUGGUGUAGCGGUGAAAUGCGCAGAUAUCAGGAGGAACACCGGUGGCGAAGGCGGGUCUCCGGGCCGAUAUUGACGCUGAGGAGCGAAAGCGUGGGGAGCGAACAGG
This 253-nucleotide ribosomal RNA is filed under the name uncultured bacterium. RNAcentral's name for it is "partial 16S ribosomal RNA". It matches the Rfam family "Bacterial small subunit ribosomal RNA", at positions 524 to 776 of the family's 1533-position model. The record is from RNAcentral.